UGAACGCUGGCGGCAGGCUUAACACAUGCAAGUCGAACGGUAACAGAACUAGCUUGCUAGUUGCUGACGAGUGGCGGACGGGUGAGUAACGCGUAGGAAUCUACCAAGUAGUGGGGGACAACAGUUGGAAACGACUGCUAAUACCGCAUAAUCCCUGAGGGGCAAAGGAGGGGAUCUGUUUACAGACCUUUCGCUAUUUGAUGAGCCUGCGUGAGAUUAGCUAGUUGGUGAGGUAAUGGCUCACCAAGGCGACGAUCUCUAGCUGGUCUGAGAGGAUGACCAGCCACACUGGAACUGAGACACGGUCCAGACUCCUGCGGGAGGCAGCAGUGGGGAAUAUUGCACAAUGGAGGAAACUCUGAUGCAGCCAUGCCGCGUGUGUGAAGAAGGCUUUCGGGUUGUAAAGCACUUUCAGUGGGGAGGAAAGGGUGUAUGUUAAUAGCAUGCAUCUGUGACGUUACCCACAGAAGAAGCACCGGCUAACUCCGUGCCAGCAGCCGCGGUAAUACGGAGGGUGCGAGCGUUAAUCGGAAUUACUGGGCGUAAAGCGCGCGUAGGUGGUUAAUUAAGUCAGAUGUGAAAGCCCAGGGCUCAACCUUGGAACUGCAUUUGAAACUGGUUAACUAGAGUUUUGUAGAGGGUGGUAGAAUUUCAGGUGUAGCGGUGAAAUGCGUAGAGAUCUGAAGGAAUACCAGUGGCGAAGGCGGCCACCUGGACAAAGACUGACACUGAGGCGCGAAGGCGUGGGGAGCAAACGGGAUUAGAUACCCCGGUAGUCCACGCAGUAAACGAUGUCUAUUAGAAGUUUGUGGCUAUAUGCCGUGGGUUUCAAAGCUAACGCAUUAAAUAGACCGCCUGGGGAGUACGGCCGCAAGGUUAAAACUCAAAUGAAUUGACGGGGGCCCGCACAAGCGGUGGAGCAUGUGGUUUAAUUCGAUGCAACGCGAAGAACCUUACCAUCCCUUGACAUCCAGAGAAUCACCUAGAGAUAGAUGAGUGCCUUCGGGAACUCUGAGACAGGUGCUGCAUGGCUGUCGUCAGCUCGUGUUGUGAAAUGUUGGGUUAAGUCCCGCAACGAGCGCAACCCUUAUCCUUACUUGCCAGCGGGUUAUGCCGGGAACUUUAGGGAGACUGCCGGUGAUAAACCGGAGGAAGGUGGGGACGACGUCAAGUCAUCAUGGCCCUUACGGGAUGGGCUACACACGUGCUACAAUGGCAGAUACAAAGGGUUGCUAACCUGCGAGGGUAUGCGAAUCUCAUAAAGUCUGUCGUAGUCCGGAUCGGAGUCUGCAACUCGACUCCGUGAAGUCGGAAUCGCUAGUAAUCGUGGAUCAGAAUGCCACGGUGAAUACGUUCCCGGGUCUUGUACUCACCGC
This 1376-nucleotide ribosomal RNA is filed under the name uncultured marine bacterium. Its description in RNAcentral is "16S ribosomal RNA". It matches the Rfam family "Bacterial small subunit ribosomal RNA", at positions 30 to 1393 of the family's 1533-position model. The record is from RNAcentral.